RNAcentral lists this transfer-messenger RNA (397 nucleotides) under Candidatus Omnitrophota. Its description in RNAcentral is "JABMRJ01 sp013202745 Standard tmRNA". It matches the Rfam family "transfer-messenger RNA". From Rfam's summary of the family: Bacterial tmRNA, also known as 10Sa RNA or SsrA, is named for its dual tRNA and mRNA-like properties. Its role is to liberate the mRNA from a stalled ribosome. To accomplish this part of the tmRNA is used as a reading frame that ends in a translation stop signal. Lineage: Bacteria; Pseudomonadati. RNAcentral also lists the same sequence under 1 other name. The record is from RNAcentral.
GGGGGUGAAAGGUUCUCGAUCCGGCUAGUUCAUUCUAAGAGUGGCAUGUAGAGGUUGUCGGGAGGCCUCUUUAAACACCUGGCACAAUACAAACGCAAACGACACAUAUAGUGCCGUUGCUGAGGCGGAAGAAAUACUCUGCACCAGCGCGUUGGACACAGUCCCUGCUUAGCAGGGGCGACUCCCUUAGCUAGUUUCCUGGGAAGCUAAGAGCGAGUACAUAAAGCAGGAUAGCCUAACCGCCUUGUCUCUGGGCGAUAGGUGAACGCUUAAGAGGCUAUUACGUCAGUAUCCUUUCUGCCGGAGCCUGACGUAGGAUAAUAAAUGGUAGGAUAAACAUGUAGAAGCUUUUGGUUGACUUCCGGGGACCCGAGUUCGAAUCUCGGCACCUCCACCA